GUUCUCAACUGAAGCAGCCGCCCCUCUCUCUUCCUCCCAAAUCUCACGGCCGUUGCUUCUCAAAAUCCGGCGACAGAUCCGCCUCCGCGGCCCUAAACUCCGGUGCCGCCUCUCACCUCCGAUCUAUUUCUUCCCUUGUUGCAAACUCAGGUGGAAAUCUUCUCCUAAACAGAGCCCUCUCUCUCUCUCUCUCUCUCGCGAUCUCAUUCUCCGUCUGUAAGAGAACCGCAGCCACUGUCGAGGGGCCGGCGAGGACCGGCGAUUGGCCGCCGUUCCAUACCCUCUCCCUCCGCCCCUCUUUCCUCUUCAAAUUUUCUUCUCCUCUCUGAAUUUCUCGAGCAGCCCACAACAUAAAGCCCUAAAUUUCUUCUUCUAUCAAAUGAUUCGCCACUGCUGCCACAUUUUCUGAGGUCCGGCGAGGCCGCAGACGUCGCUCUGUUGCCGUGGUCCGGUGAGGCAGCAAGAGCUCGCCCUCGGUACUCGUCGGGGUCCUCGUUGGGCUCGUGUAUAGAUCUGGGGGAAACUUGGACUAAAGCUUUGAUUUUGCUUGUUGUGUUGAGUCAGGAAGGGUCACAGCGUGGCUUCGCUGCGGUCUCC
This 597-nucleotide long non-coding RNA is filed under the name Salvia miltiorrhiza (redroot sage). RNAcentral describes it as "long non-coding RNA (SMIL_LNC003630)". The record is from RNAcentral. Lineage: Eukaryota; Viridiplantae; Streptophyta; Magnoliopsida; Lamiales; Lamiaceae.